GUGAGUAAUAUAUAGUUAAUCUGCCUUAGAGAUGGGAAUAAUUGUUGGAAACGACUUGUAAGACCCGAUAUGCCUUUAGUACAUAAGUACGCAAGGGAAACAUUUAUGGCUCUAAGAUGAGACUGUACAGUAUCAGAUAGUUGGUAGGGUAAUGGCCUACCAAGUCUAUGACGCUUAACUGGUUUGAGAGGAUGAUCAGUCACACUGGAACUGAGACACGGUCCAGACUCCUACGGGAGGCAGCAGUGGGGAAUAUUGCGCAAUGGACGAAAGUCUGAUGCAGCAACGCCGCGUGGAGGAUGACACAUUUCGGUGCGUAAACUCCUUUUAUAUGAGAAGAUAAUGACGGUAUCAUAUGAAUAAGCACCGGCUAACUUCGUGCCAGCAGCCGCGGUAAUACGAGGGGUGCAAGCGUUACUCGGAAUCACUGGGCGUAAAGAGAAUGUAGGCGGGUAAUUAAGUUGGAAGUGAAAUCCUAUGGCUCAACCAUAGAACUGCUUCCAAAACUGAUUACCUAGAGUAUGGGAGAGGUAGAUGGAAUUUCUGGUGUAGGGGUAAAAUCCGUAGAGAUCAGAAGGAAUACCGAUUGCGAAGGCGAUCUACUGGAACAUUACUGACGCUCAGAUUCGAAAGCGUGGGGGGCAAACAGGAUUAGAUACCCUGGUAGUCCACGCCCUA
RNAcentral lists this ribosomal RNA (678 nucleotides) under uncultured bacterium. Its description in RNAcentral is "bacterial SSU rRNA". It matches the Rfam family "Bacterial small subunit ribosomal RNA", at positions 106 to 804 of the family's 1533-position model. The record is from RNAcentral.